This 739-nucleotide long non-coding RNA is filed under the name Homo sapiens (human). RNAcentral describes it as "HSALNT0323435". Lineage: Eukaryota; Metazoa; Chordata; Mammalia; Primates; Hominidae. The record is from RNAcentral.
AAGUUAUGGAAAUUUGCACAGGGACCAUAUUGGAAUUUGGUGGAGUUGGAGUAAACAUACUUAAUUUUUGUUUGGCAUUUUUCAGAUAUUAUAAGGUACAGGGAACUACCUGUGGAUCCUCUCCCCCAGGUGAAAUUCUCCAAGUUGUCAUGGUGACACACUUGAUCUUAGUCAUAAGGCCGAGAAACGGCUGUCAUCAUGAUACAUGGCUGGGAUCAUAAAAAGAAUCAGAGUCUUGGAAGACAAUAGGGCAUUUCUAUGAUAAUCUUUGAGAUGAUUCCUGCAUUUUUCUUCAUCCAGCUUGGAGACAGAAUGGGGUAGGAAGAGGGCAUACAUUUCAGACUGCUUGGCAAACGAUAUGUAAAUCCUAAGAACAACACAAAAGCUGCUGGAAGCCAUCAGGAAGCCAAAAGCCAUGAAAGAAGCAAGAAGGAGAUCUUUGACAAUAUAGGAGAGAAGAAGUACAAUACCACCUCUUCUUACCACCUUUACUCCCUUAAUCGAUAAUUGAUUAAUGUGCCAAAAUGAUACUGUUAUUGACACCAUUAAUUGUGUUACAUGUAGCCUAUAAAAGCUCUCAAUUGCUCCCCUCACUGCCUACUUCACAAUAUAAGGUUUUGAAAUGGAAUCUAUUAUUUUUGCCACCAGAAUGGGAGAACCAUCCAUUCUCCACCUCUUAUAACACGUGUUCUGUGGGAGCUCCAUCUCCCAGCUCAGAUGUGAAGGGAAUCAAAGUAUG